This 253-nucleotide ribosomal RNA is filed under the name uncultured bacterium. Its description in RNAcentral is "partial 16S ribosomal RNA". It matches the Rfam family "Bacterial small subunit ribosomal RNA", at positions 524 to 776 of the family's 1533-position model. The record is from RNAcentral.
UACGUAGGGUGCAAGCGUUGUCCGGAAUUAUUGGGCGUAAAGAGCUCGUAGGCGGUCUGUCGCGUCGGCUGUGAAAACCCGGGGCUCAACCCCGGGCCUGCAGUCGAUACGGGCAGACUAGAGUGCGGUAGGGGAGACUGGAAUUCCUGGUGUAGCGGUGAAAUGCGCAGAUAUCAGGAGGAACACCGGUGGCGAAGGCGGCACUCUGGGCCGGUACUGACGCUGAGGAGCGAAAGCGUGGGGAGCAAACAGG